This 400-nucleotide ribosomal RNA is filed under the name uncultured Pectobacterium sp. Its description in RNAcentral is "bacterial SSU rRNA". It matches the Rfam family "Bacterial small subunit ribosomal RNA", at positions 968 to 1368 of the family's 1533-position model. Lineage: Bacteria; Pseudomonadati; Pseudomonadota; Gammaproteobacteria; Enterobacterales; Pectobacteriaceae. The record is from RNAcentral.
ACCUUACCUACUCUUGACAUCCAGAGAACUUAGCAGAGAUGCUUUGGUGCCUUCGGGAACUCUGAGACAGGUGCUGCAUGGCUGUCGUCAGCUCGUGUUGUGAAAUGUUGGGUUAAGUCCCGCAACGAGCGCAACCCUUAUCCUUUGUUGCCAGCGAUUCGGUCGGGAACUCAAAGGAGACUGCCGGUGAUAAACCGGAGGAAGGUGGGGAUGACGUCAAGUCAUCAUGGCCCUUACGAGUAGGGCUACACACGUGCUACAAUGGCGUAUACAAAGAGAAGCGACCUCGCGAGAGCAAGCGGAACUCAUAAAGUACGUCGUAGUCCGGAUUGGAGUCUGCAACUCGACUCCAUGAAGUCGGAAUCGCUAGUAAUCGUAGAUCAGAAUGCUACGGUGAAUA